This 377-nucleotide ribosomal RNA is filed under the name uncultured bacterium. RNAcentral's name for it is "bacterial SSU rRNA". It matches the Rfam family "Bacterial small subunit ribosomal RNA", at positions 523 to 898 of the family's 1533-position model. The record is from RNAcentral.
AGACGUAGGAUCCGAGCGUUGUCCGGAAUUACUGGGCGUAAAGCGCGCGCAGGCGGAUACACGCAUCGGCGGUGAAAGCCCCCCGCUCAACGGGGGAGGGUCCGUCGAGAUGGUGUAUCUGGAGGCAGGGAGAGGUCAGUGGAAUUCCGGGUGUAGUGGUGAAAUGCGUAGAGAUCCGGAGGAACACCAGUGGCGAAGGCGGCUGACUGGACCUGACCUGACGCUGAGGCGCGAAGGCGUGGGGAGCGAACGGGAUUAGAUACCCCGGUAGUCCACGCAGUAAACGAUGGGUACUAGGUGUGGCGGGAGUUGACCCCUGCCGUGCCGGCGCUAACGCAGUAAGUACCCCGCCUGGGGAGUACGGCCGCAAGGCUAAA